CCUACGGGAGGCAGCAGUGGGGAAUAUUGCGCAAUGGGCGAAAGCCUGACGCAGCGACGCCGCGUGAGGGAUGAAGGUCUUCGGAUCGUAAACCUCUGUCAGGAGGGAAGAAGUGGUUAUAUGCGAAUAGUGUAUGACUUUGACGGUACCUCCAAAGGAAGCACCGGCUAACUCCGUGCCAGCAGCCGCGGUAAUACGGAGGGUGCGAGCGUUAAUCGGAAUUACUGGGCGUAAAGCGCUCGUAGGCGGUAUGUCAAGUCAAGGGUGAAAUCCCCGCGCUCAACGUGGGAACUGCCUUUGAAACUGGCAAACUGGAGUGUGUGAGAGGAGAGUGGAAUUCCAGGUGUAGGAGUGAAAUCCGUAGAUAUCUGGAGGAACAUCAGUGGCGAAGGCGACUAGCUGGCACAUAACUGACGCUGAGGAGCGAAAGCGUGGGUAGCAAACAGGAUUAGAUACCCGGGUAGUC
RNAcentral lists this ribosomal RNA (466 nucleotides) under uncultured bacterium. Its description in RNAcentral is "partial 16S ribosomal RNA". It matches the Rfam family "Bacterial small subunit ribosomal RNA", at positions 338 to 795 of the family's 1533-position model. The record is from RNAcentral.